Papaver somniferum (opium poppy) is the source of this 350-nucleotide long non-coding RNA. RefSeq lists it as uncharacterized. The record is from RefSeq and is a predicted model, not a curated record. The transcript has 5 exons. NCBI's taxonomy places the organism in Eukaryota, Viridiplantae, Streptophyta, Magnoliopsida, Ranunculales, Papaveraceae.
CCUUUAAUUUCGAGAUUCCUCUCAAUUGAAUCAAAAUGAAGAAUUUUUUUCGAAUCAGCGUGAAGAAUUUUUUUCGUUUAGAAAUUAAUGGGUUUCCUGAUGAGGAUGGAUGUAAAAGUCAUUAGAUGUUCAAUUUGUAGAAACUUCACGUCAAGAUGGAAGUUAUAUUAAGAACGAAACAUUGAAUUCGAUUAUACCAACUUCCGUAUAUGAAAUUCAAGUGUUGCUUUCAGAAACAAUCUAAUGAAAAGAUGAGUUGGGUCAUUCUUAGAUGCCAUGGCAACAAACUUAAAGUGGAUUGUUUUUAGGAGCUGUUGUUGUAUCAAUUUCAGGAUCUGUUGUAUUUGAUU